AGAUGAUGGUGUAGGGCUGAGACCUGAGAAACAAUAUUUAUUAAUUUGGUAGAGAAAGAUGAGUCUCAAGGGAAGAUGAAAAAGAAGAAACCAGAAAAAUAGAAGAAAAAUCAGCUUUACAGAAUUCUUUCUCAAGAGGAUUUAGACUCCUUUUCUAUUGAUAGGGCAUAAGAAUUGACUCAGACCUAGAAACUGGCUGGGACCAUCUCAUAAUGUUUGUGUACAUUCCUGUUGUCUUCUACCUCCCAUCCACCGUGUCUCUCUACUGCCUAUAACCAGCCUACAUAAGUUCUUUCAAGAGAUCAAGAAAGAAACAGAAAUCUAGACAGAGAAGGUGAAAAAGAGAAGACCUAACAGAGAGCUAAGAAAGAUAAAUGUGAUUGGAGAGGAAACUAUCCCCAAUUCUCUCUUCAUUGACAUUUGGGGCUGUACCAGUUUACAUUUUCACCAACAUUCCCACCAUUGUGGUGGCCAGCAACUGAGGAGGCUGAGAUAAGUGGAUUCCCUGAGCCCAGGAGGUGGAGGUUGCAGUUAGCCAAGAUUGCGUCACUGCACUCCAGCCUAGGCAACAGAGUGAGACCUGUCUCAAAAAAAAAAAAAAAAAAGAGUUAAAUUAAAAAAUAAAUAAAAGUCAUUUGACCAUAUAUGUGAUUGUUUAUUUCUUGCUCUCCAUCUAUUCUAUUUACCUAUAUAUCUAUCUUUAUUCCAGUACAAUGCUGUUUUUAUUAUUGUAACUUUGAAAAAAAAUUUUAAAAUCUAGAAGUGUGAUCUUUAACUUUUGUUCUUUUUCAAAAUUGUUU
RNAcentral lists this long non-coding RNA (800 nucleotides) under Homo sapiens (human). RNAcentral's name for it is "HSALNT0139106". Lineage: Eukaryota; Metazoa; Chordata; Mammalia; Primates; Hominidae. The record is from RNAcentral.